Molecule: long non-coding RNA, 410 nt
Organism: Engraulis encrasicolus (European anchovy)
Lineage: Eukaryota; Metazoa; Chordata; Actinopteri; Clupeiformes; Engraulidae
Exons: 3
Source: RefSeq, a predicted model, not a curated record
AAGACGUUGAAGGGUACACUUCAGGGGUACAUUCGGCAACGCACCAGCUGUCAUAGCGCCUCACUGUUGUGUGCCCAAAUGUUCGUCCUCAAAGAGAAAAAAUCCUACCGUGGACAGACUUUCCACCGUUUCCACAAAGAGCAGGCACUUCGCCGUGAAUGUAUAAAUCAAAUCAAGAGGGAUCUUGGUCCAUAUUUCAAGAUCAACGCUGAGACCAAAGUUUGCUCUGAGCACUUUGAGAAGCAGUGUUUUGUAAAGACCGCCUGUGGUAUCACAAAGCUUAUAAAGGAUGCUGUGCCUUCUGAGCUCUAGGAAGAGCAUUACUCAGCUGGAGCUUUCCCAUGGCCAAGAGAUGAACGCUAAACUUGAUAGUUUUUUUUCCUCCUCCUUCCUGCCUGCACUGUACAAAA